Molecule: ribosomal RNA, 674 nt
Filed under: Myoxocephalus aenaeus (grubby sculpin)
Lineage: Eukaryota; Metazoa; Chordata; Actinopteri; Perciformes; Cottidae
Description: partial 12S small subunit ribosomal RNA
Rfam family: Bacterial small subunit ribosomal RNA
Source: RNAcentral
CCACCGCGGUUAUACGAGAGGCCCAAGUUGACAAACACCGGCGUAAAGCGUGGUUAAGUAAAAACUCACACUAAAGCCAAACAUCUUCCAGGCUGUUAUACGCAACCGAAGACAGGAAGUUCAACCACGAAAGUGGCUUUAUCUAAUCUGAACCCACGAAAGCUAAGGAACAAACUGGGAUUAGAUACCCCACUAUGCCUAGCCCUAAACAUUGAUAGUACUAUACACCCACUAUCCGCCCGGGAACUACGAGCAAUAGCUUAAAACCCAAAGGACUUGGCGGUGCUUUAGAUCCACCUAGAGGAGCCUGUUCUAGAACCGAUAACCCCCGUUCAACCUCACCCUUCCUUGUUUAACCCGCCUAUAUACCGCCGUCGUCAGCUUACCCUGUGAGGGACUAAUAGUAAGCAAAACUGGCACAGCCUAAAACGUCAGGUCGAGGUGUAGCGUAUGGAGGGGGAAGAAAUGGGCUACAUUCGCUAUUACAGCGAAUACGAAUGAUGCACUGAAACGUUCAUCUGAAGGAGGAUUUAGCAGUAAGCAGGAAAUAGAGCGUCCAGCUGAAAUUGGCCCUGAAGCGCGCACACACCGCCCGUCACUCUCCCCAAAGACGCAAAUCAAUUAACUAAAACCUAAUAAUUAAAAAGGGGAGGCAAGUCGUAACAUGGUAAGCG